AAUAAGGUGUCUGAAAUUUAGGUCAUAAAUUGUAAAUUUAUGUAUGGGUUGUUAAUCCUCUUGUUA
Molecule: transfer RNA, 66 nt
Filed under: Sophianus sp.
Lineage: Eukaryota; Metazoa; Arthropoda; Insecta; Hemiptera; Miridae
Description: tRNA-Tyr
Source: RNAcentral